This 425-nucleotide ribosomal RNA is filed under the name uncultured bacterium. RNAcentral describes it as "bacterial SSU rRNA". It matches the Rfam family "Bacterial small subunit ribosomal RNA", at positions 354 to 796 of the family's 1533-position model. The record is from RNAcentral.
GUGAGGAAUUUUCCGCAAUGGGCGAAAGCCUGACGGAGCAAUGCCGCGUGAAGGAUGAAGGCCUAUGGGUUGUAAACUUCUUUUCUCAAAAAGAAUUAUGACGGUAUCUGAGGAAUAAGCAUCGGCUAACUCUGUGCCAGCAGCCGCGGUAAGACAGAGGAUGCAAGCGUUAUCUGGAAUGAUUGGGCGUAAAGCGUCUGUAGGUUGUUUAAAAAGUAUUCUGUCAAAGAUUAGGGCUUAACCCUAGAUAGGCAGAAUAAACUUUUAAGCUAGAGUUUGGUAGAGGCAGAGGGAAUUCCCGGUGGAGCGGUGAAAUGCGUAGAUAUCGGGAGGAACACCAAAGGCGAAGGCACUCUGCUGGGCCAAUACUAACACUGAGAGACGAAAGCGAGGGGAGCAAAUGGGAUUAGAAACCCUAGUAGUCC